CGUCACACCAUGAGAGUUGGGAAUACCCGAACGCCUGUGAGCCAACCGUAAGGGGGCAGCAGUCGAAGGUAGAAUCAAUGAUUGGGUGAAGUCGUAACAAGGUAGC
This 106-nucleotide ribosomal RNA is filed under the name uncultured bacterium. Its description in RNAcentral is "partial 16S ribosomal RNA". It matches the Rfam family "Bacterial small subunit ribosomal RNA", at positions 1395 to 1500 of the family's 1533-position model. The record is from RNAcentral.